RNAcentral lists this small RNA (491 nucleotides) under Pongo abelii (Sumatran orangutan). RNAcentral describes it as "retained intron". Lineage: Eukaryota; Metazoa; Chordata; Mammalia; Primates; Hominidae. The record is from RNAcentral.
AGCAGCAGCCCCCACCCCCACCCCCACCCCCGCAAAGCCCAGAGGAAGGGACAACGUACAUCGCUCCUGCAAAAGAACCCUCGGUCAACACAGCACUGGUUCCUCAGCUCUCCACAAUCUCACGAGCACUCACACCUUCCCCCGUUAUGGUCCUUGAAAACAUUGAACCCGAAAUUGUAUAUGCAGGCUAUGACAGCUCAAAACCAGAUACAGCCGAAAAUCUGCUCUCCACGCUCAACCGCUUAGCAGGCAAACAGAUGAUCCAAGUCGUGAAGUGGGCAAAGGUACUUCCAGGAUUUAAAAACUUGCCUCUUGAGGACCAAAUUACCCUAAUCCAGUAUUCUUGGAUGUGUCUAUCAUCAUUUGCCUUGAGCUGGAGAUCGUACAAACAUACGAACAGCCAAUUUCUCUAUUUUGCACCAGACCUAGUCUUUAAUGAGUAAGUACCUAUUAAUUAGCCUUCAUAAAAUAAACUGCAGAGUUAUGCAUUA